AUGGAAAAAAUGAAGAACGCGCCGGUACCAGAAGGUGAAGAGCCAAAGUCUGUUGUUGAAAUUGUCGAAGAAGUGCUCAAGACUGAAGUCAAGAAAAGCACAUUCCUCAGGAAUGUUGGGCUCCAGUCAUCUAGGAACAACUCCGGCAAAGAAACUACUGAAGUGGUUGCUCAUGUUCGUGACAUUAGCAGAAGCUGGAGAGGUCCGAGCUUCAAGCUGAAGUGA
This 225-nucleotide ribosomal RNA is filed under the name Triticum aestivum (bread wheat). RNAcentral describes it as "partial small subunit ribosomal RNA". Lineage: Eukaryota; Viridiplantae; Streptophyta; Magnoliopsida; Poales; Poaceae. The record is from RNAcentral.